This is a small nucleolar RNA of Hanseniaspora valbyensis NRRL Y-1626, 83 nucleotides long. The record is from Rfam. Lineage: Eukaryota; Fungi; Ascomycota; Saccharomycetes; Saccharomycodales; Saccharomycodaceae.
AAAUAUGAUGACAUGUUGUCGCCCCAAGCGGAUUCGCCAGAUGAACGAACUAUUGACUUAGCCAAACACUGAAAAUUCUGAUU